This 464-nucleotide ribosomal RNA is filed under the name uncultured bacterium. RNAcentral's name for it is "partial 16S ribosomal RNA". It matches the Rfam family "Bacterial small subunit ribosomal RNA", at positions 339 to 795 of the family's 1533-position model. The record is from RNAcentral.
CUACGGGUGGCUGCAGUGGGGAAUAUUGCACAAUGGGCGCAAGCCUGAUGCAGCCAUGCCGCGUGUAUGAAGAAGGCCUUCGGGUUGUAAAGUACUUUCAGCGGGGAGGAAGGGAGUAAAGUUAAUACCUUUGCUCAUUGACGUUACCCGCAGAAGAAGCACCGGCUAACUCCGUGCCAGCGAGCCGCGGUAAUACGGAGGGUGCAAGCGUUAAUCGGAAUUACUGGGCGUAAAGCGCACGCAGGCGGUUUGUUAAGUCAGAUGUGAAAUCCCCGGGCUCAACCUGGGAACUGCAUCUGAUACUGGCAGGCUUGGGUCUCGUAGAGGGGGGUAGAAUUCCGGGUGUGGGGGUGAAAUGCGUGGAGUUCGGAGGGAAAACCGGUGGCGAGGGCGGCCCCCUGGCCGAAGACUGACGCUAAGGUGCGAAAGCGUGGGAAGCAACCAGGUUAGAUACCCUCGUAGUC